Molecule: ribosomal RNA, 404 nt
Filed under: Acidobacteriota bacterium
Lineage: Bacteria; Pseudomonadati; Acidobacteriota
Also listed under: 1 other name
Description: Acidobacteria bacterium partial 16S ribosomal RNA
Rfam family: Bacterial small subunit ribosomal RNA
Source: RNAcentral
UGGGGAAUAUUGCACAAUGGGGGAAACCCUGAUGCAGCGACGCCGCGUGAAGGAAGAAGUAUUUCGGUAUGUAAACUUCUAUCAGCAGGGAAGAAAAUGACGGUACCUGACUAAGAAGCCCCGGCUAACUACGUGCCAGCAGCCGCGGUAAUACGUAGGGGGCAAGCGUUAUCCGGAUUUACUGGGUGUAAAGGGAGCGUAGACGGCAUGGCAAGUCUGGUGUGAAAGGCAGGGGCUCAACCCCUGGACUGCAUUGGAAACUGUCAGGCUGGAGUGCAGGAGAGGUAAGUGGAAUUCCUAGUGUAGCGGUGAAAUGCGUAGAUAUUAGGAGGAACACCAGUGGCGAAGGCGACUUACUGGACUGUAACUGACGUUGAGGCUCGAAAGCGUGGGGAGCAAACAGG